This 840-nucleotide long non-coding RNA is filed under the name Lotus japonicus. RNAcentral describes it as "long non-coding RNA (LJAP_LNC000789)". Lineage: Eukaryota; Viridiplantae; Streptophyta; Magnoliopsida; Fabales; Fabaceae. The record is from RNAcentral.
AUAAAAACCAAUUUAAUAUAUUGAAUAUAAUCCACCAAUGGAUAAAAAAGCACACUGACCUUGAAAUUCUAGCACACAUUUCAGAAGCAAAAGCUAGAAUUUUAAUUUUCCUGUACCUGGAAAUAAAAACUGAAAAAAAUGGGGAUCCAUUACAAAGUGAAAACAACAAAAUUACUAUACUAUAGGGCUUAAAUAAUACUCACAUUCUAUACAGAAAGUACUGAAAGCGACACUAAGUGUAAUUUCAAAUUCCAAAUGGAACGAAACAUCCUUUAGUUUAAUACUACAAUGAACAAUUUAUAUCCUGCAAAAGUAUGUAUGGUAAAAAGUAGUGGAUUAAAGAACUCUCUAUUGUAAAGUAGUAGAUUGUUCUCAACUCACAACUUAAACAAUAAUAGUGAGGAAGAUCCAAGGCAAUUUGAAAACUAAUGCACCAAGUACUGUGAUGAGAACAACACAUGGCUAGUGAAGAUUAAUGACAAUGACAAAAACAAAGUGAAAACAACAAAAUUAGUAUACUAUAGAGGGCUUAAAUAAUACUCACAUUCUAUACAGAAAGUACUGAAAGCGACACUAAGUGUAAUUUCAAAUUCCAAAUGGAACGAAACAUCCUUUAGUUUAAUACCACAAUGAACAAUUUAUAUCCUGCAAAAGUAUGUAUGGUAAAAAGUAGUGGAUUAAAGAACUCUCUAUUGUAAAGUAGUAGAUUGUUCUCAACUCACAACUUGAACAAUAAUAGUGAGGAAGAUCUAAGGCAAUUUGAAAACUAAUGCACCAAGUACUGUGAUGAGAACAACACAUGGCUAGUGAAGAUUAAUGGCAAUGACAAAAGAGAAGGUG